This 477-nucleotide ribosomal RNA is filed under the name uncultured Pezizomycotina. RNAcentral describes it as "SSU rRNA". It matches the Rfam family "Eukaryotic small subunit ribosomal RNA", at positions 234 to 710 of the family's 1831-position model. Lineage: Eukaryota; Fungi; Ascomycota. The record is from RNAcentral.
UUCGGGGCUCCUUGGUGAUUCAUGAUAACUUAACGAAUCGCAUGGCCUUGUGCCGGCGAUGGUUCAUUCAAAUUUCUGCCCUAUCAACUUUCGAUGGUAGGAUAGUGGCCUACCAUGGUUUCAACGGGUAACGGGGAAUUAGGGUUCUAUUCCGGAGAGGGAGCCUGAGAAACGGCUACCACAUCCAAGGAAGGCAGCAGGCGCGCAAAUUACCCAAUCCCGACACGGGGAGGUAGUGACAAUAAAUACUGAUGCAGAGCUCUUUUGGGUUUUGCAAUUGGAAUGAGUACAAUUUAAAUCCCUUAACGAGGAACAAUUGGAGGGCAAGUCUGGUGCCAGCAGCCGCGGUAAUUCCAGCUCCAAUAGCGUAUAUUAAAGUUGUUGCAGUUAAAAAGCUCGUAGUUGAACCUUGGGCCUGGCUGGCCGGCCCGCCUCACCGCGAGCACUGGUCCGGCCGGGCCUUUCCUUCUGGGGRCC